ACGGGCCGCACAGCGGUGGAGUAUGUGGUUUAAUCCGACGCAACGCGAAGUAACCUUACCUAGGUUUGACAUCUUGGGAAUCUCUAUGAAAGUAGAGAGUGCCCUUCGGGGAGCCCAAAGACAGGUGCUGCAUGGCUGUCGUCAGCUCGUGUCGUGGGAUGUUGGGUUAAGUCCCGCAACGAGCGCAACCCUUGUCUUUAGUUGCCAUCAUUUAGUUGGGCACUCUAAAGAGACUGCCGGUGUCAAACCGGAGGAAGUGGGGAUGACGUCAAGUCCUCAUGGCCUUUAUGACCAGGGCUACACACGUACUACAAUGGCCGGUACAAAGGGCAGCCACUUAGCGAUAAGGAGCCAAUCCCGUAAAGCCGGUCUCAGUUCGGAUUGGAGUCUGCAACUCGACUCCAUGAAGUUGGAAUCGCUAGUAAUCGCGGAUCAGCAUGCCGCGGUGAAUACGUUCCCGGGCCUU
This 466-nucleotide ribosomal RNA is filed under the name uncultured Desulfocapsa sp. Its description in RNAcentral is "bacterial SSU rRNA". It matches the Rfam family "Bacterial small subunit ribosomal RNA", at positions 918 to 1380 of the family's 1533-position model. Lineage: Bacteria; Pseudomonadati; Thermodesulfobacteriota; Desulfobulbia; Desulfobulbales; Desulfocapsaceae. The record is from RNAcentral.